GGGAAUGUGGCUUAGUGGUAAAGUGUUUGCUUAGCAUGCAUCAAGCCCUGGGUUCAAUUCCUCAGUACCA
This 70-nucleotide transfer RNA is filed under the name Dipodomys ordii (Ord's kangaroo rat). It matches the Rfam family "tRNA". Rfam says of the family: Transfer RNA (tRNA) molecules are approximately 80 nucleotides in length. Their secondary structure includes four short double-helical elements and three loops (D, anti-codon, and T loops). Further hydrogen bonds mediate the characteristic L-shaped molecular structure. tRNAs have two regions of fundamental functional importance: the anti-codon, which is responsible for specific mRNA codon recognition, and the 3' end, to which the tRNAs corresponding amino acid is attached (by aminoacyl-tRNA synthetases). tRNAs cope with the degeneracy of the genetic code in two manners: having more than one tRNA (with a specific anti-codon) for a particular amino acid; and 'wobble' base-pairing, i.e. permitting non-standard base-pairing at the 3rd anti-codon position. The record is from Rfam by way of RNAcentral. Lineage: Eukaryota; Metazoa; Chordata; Mammalia; Rodentia; Heteromyidae.